AUAUUAUUAAUAAAUAAUACAGUCCACACAACAACAAUUAGUUUAUUUGAACCAGCAAAGAAUUUUAAACAUUUUGGUCUUCGAUCCAGAUAAAUAUAAGAUAGAAAAAUAUCUAAAUAGUGUAAAAACUAUCUGGAAUUUAACAACAAUCGAGUGUGUCCAGUGGCCCAGAGAAGAGGCGAAGAAAAAUAUCGAGCGAAGUAACAAGCGAUAGUGACUAACUGACUGAACGACUGCAAUUCAGUAACAGAAGACCCUCCACAGAGCAUAUUAUCCACGAAAAAGCCAUGCAAGAUAACAGUAGAAGCUUCUGGAUGUGCUUCAAGAUUGUCCAAUCCUAACUGCUUCAAACAGCGUAUGGCCAAGUACGCUGCUGACCUGGUAACAUAGAAAGGUAUAGAGCAAUAAAAUGGGGAAUACGUCCAGUUCGACUCAAUUUCGGUGUCGGCCAUAGUUGUAUGUCUUGAAAUAUUGUGUGAGGAUUACUUCGUAGUAGAUUACACAGUUACGUUUUGCGUUUAACAGGUAUCGUUUAGCCUUCUAUUAGUGCUUCUGCUUAAUUUCAGAUUCGGUUUAACCAUGCGCCGUAACGGCAAUGGUACCUUACCCAAAAUUUUUAGACCUUUGUAAUUAUAUUUGUUUGGUUUAACGCAUCAGUAUUUGCUGUUAAGCCGUAAAUAGUGUUCACAGUAUUAUAAGAUUAGUAAUAUAAUAAUUCUCCACUAUCAGUGAAUGAAAAACCUAUUAUUUUAAAUGUACACGAUUGCAUAAAAUACGAUUACC
Diorhabda sublineata is the source of this 783-nucleotide long non-coding RNA. RefSeq lists it as uncharacterized. The record is from RefSeq and is a predicted model, not a curated record. The transcript is spliced from 3 exons. Lineage: Eukaryota; Metazoa; Arthropoda; Insecta; Coleoptera; Chrysomelidae.